AAUCGAGCACAGGGGCGCUGGAAGCUUUUCCGGCUGAGAUGCAAAGGCGAAUAGGCCGCCUUCGGUCCCUUAAACCUGAUCCGGGUAAUGCCGGCGUAGGAAGUGAACGGAAUGUGGAC
Regulatory RNA element from Ruminococcaceae bacterium D16, 119 nucleotides. It matches the Rfam family "TPP riboswitch aptamer (THI element)". Rfam says of the family: Vitamin B(1) in its active form thiamin pyrophosphate (TPP) is an essential coenzyme that is synthesised by coupling of pyrimidine and thiazole moieties in bacteria. The previously detected thiamin-regulatory element, thi box was extended, resulting in a new, highly conserved RNA secondary structure, the THI element, which is widely distributed in eubacteria and also occurs in some archaea. NCBI's taxonomy places the organism in Bacteria, Bacillati, Bacillota, Clostridia, Eubacteriales, Oscillospiraceae. The record is from Rfam.